This 77-nucleotide transfer RNA is filed under the name Neolewinella marina. Its description in RNAcentral is "Lewinella marina tRNA-Pro". It matches the Rfam family "tRNA". From Rfam's summary of the family: Transfer RNA (tRNA) molecules are approximately 80 nucleotides in length. Their secondary structure includes four short double-helical elements and three loops (D, anti-codon, and T loops). RNAcentral also lists the same sequence under 1 other name. The record is from RNAcentral. Lineage: Bacteria; Pseudomonadati; Bacteroidota; Saprospiria; Saprospirales; Lewinellaceae.
CGGGAUGUAGCGCAGCCCGGUAGCGCGCGUCGUUCGGGACGACGAGGCCGCUGGUUCGAAUCCAGUCAUCCCGACCC